Molecule: long non-coding RNA, 1561 nt
Organism: Sus scrofa (pig)
Lineage: Eukaryota; Metazoa; Chordata; Mammalia; Artiodactyla; Suidae
Source: RefSeq, a predicted model, not a curated record
GGAAACGGGCAGUGUGACCACAGGCCCCGGCCGAGGAGGCCCCGGUUCUCGGCGCUGACGCCCAAGCCUGAAAACCCUUCUUCCUCGGGCGCCUUCCUGACUAGGUUGGCAGGUGGUCGUUUUACGGAGGAGGAGGGCACAGAAAUUCAAGGAGUUCUCUCCAGAUAAGCCUUGCUGCGGACAAAGGAGCUGGAACCCCUUCAGGUCUAAACACCUAGGGCUCUAGAUCUAAACCCGGGGACGUGCCGGCACAUUCCUGGCUCUGGAGAUGAAGCCAGCACAGUCUCUGCCCUCACAUGCUGCAUCGCAGGCAGCGAGGAGAUAAACACACAGACACACCCCAGUGAGCAGGGCUAUCAAGUGGAUAAAGGGACAGGAGACCCACGGGUGCUACUUGAGAUGGAGCAGUCGGGGUCAGGCUCUUGACGUAGCCUGUUUUGAAGAGUCAACCCCAGGGGAGCCCCACCCAGCAGGGAGGCCACAGCCUUUUCUGAAAAAGACGUGUUUUCCCUCCUGGCCAAAUAAGGGGAGGGCGAGGGCGGGGCUGAUCCUAAACCAGUCUUUUAGCCAGCAGUCAGCAGCUCGGUGGUCACUGCCACCUGCCUCCCCUGAGCAUAGGCCCAUCAGUCACCAGCUCAGGCCACCUGGGACCUCAGCGGGUGCCCAGUCUCUCCUCCAGGCUGUGCAGAAGCCCAAAGGGGAAGGGGCUGCCUCUGCAAUGUGCUGACCCACCAGGCACUCUGGACCGUCAUCUCCUGCCCAGGUCGCGGAGCCCCCAGGGCUGCUCCCCAAACAUCUCCCAGCGCUGGCCCACCUCAGUGCAGCAUCUGUCCAUCCCCGGCCGAAAGGGGAAGCGGGAAAAUAAAAAUAAACUUAAGCAGAGAGAAUUUCAUCUAGAUAUUCAGUUGAGAAGGAAGGGAAAACAACUAAAAACAACUGAGAUGCGCAAAAACUCCAGGAAAGAAAAGACAAAGAAACGAGUACGGACCCAGGGCCCUGUCUGGGGGCCUCAGACCACUGGCAGGAACCUACCCACUGAGCAGCACUCUCUCCAUCCUCCAGGCCCUGCCUGCCUUCCUGGCAGGAGCGAGGCGUGGGGCUCUCGGCCGACAUCAGGGACGUCCGCUCGUCACACACUUCUUCCUCGCUGUCAGAGGCCAUGAAAGUGAGCAUGGCCCCUCCUCCGAAAGUGCCUGGAAAAGGAGCACAGCGGACUCUGUUCCACUUUCCUACAAGGCAAAGGCAGAGGAGGGUGAGAGGCAGCUUUAAGACCUGGACUCAGGUCCUGCCCAAACUGACCACCUAGGACACAAGUGUCAAAGGGCUGCUAUAAAGCCACGGUCCCCAGGGGCCACCACAGAGGCUGUAGCAGCCUCAAGAGGGACUGGCCAGAGGAGAUCCAGUCCAUGGGGCAAAACUCCCAACCAAAAAUGUCCUGGCCACUCCAGACUGUCAGUACACUCACUUAUUGAAUCAACAAACACCCGUUCAGUACCCAUAAUGUGCCAACACUUUUGUCCUAAAACCAAUAAAAACCAGCUAUCCAAUGUGACAAAUGAUA